Molecule: long non-coding RNA, 261 nt
Organism: Dermochelys coriacea (leatherback sea turtle)
Lineage: Eukaryota; Metazoa; Chordata; Testudines; Dermochelyidae
Exons: 3
Source: RefSeq, a predicted model, not a curated record
AUGGCCUGUUUGGGAGGAUGAAUCAUUCAAGAAAUACAUGUUUGCUGAUCAUGUUUUAAAGAAAGUCACACCAGUGAAGUGGUGGAAGUCACUUAAGCACUUGAAUUCAGAGACUGUUGAAGUGAUAAUGUCACUUAACAGCAGUACCUUCUUCUACUGGUGUAGAAAGAAUAUUUUCUUCCUUUGGACUAAUUCAUUCCAAAUUGAGAAAUCGUUUGGGACCCGAAAAAGCAGGAAAACUUGUUUCUUUUCCAGAUUAUG